AGGUGACUGCCGGUGACAAACCGGAGGAAGGUGGGGAUGACGUCAAAUCAUCAUGCCCCUUAUGACCUGGGCUACACACGUGCUACAAUGGAUGGUACAAAGGGCUGCAAAACCGCGAGGUUAAGCGAAUCCCAUAAAACCAUUCUCAGUUCGGAUUGUAGGCUGCAACUCGCCUACAUGAAGCCGGAAUCGCUAGUAAUCGCGGAUCAGCAUGCCGCGGUGAAUACGUUCCCGGGCCUUGUACACACCGCCCGUCACACCACGAGAGUUUGUAACACCCGAAGUCGGUGGGGUAACCUAACUGGAGCCAGCCGCCUAAGGUGGGACAGAUGAUUGGGGUGAAGUCGUAACAAGGUAGCCGUAUCGGAAGGUGCGGCUGGAUCACCUCCUUU
Molecule: non-coding RNA, 392 nt
Filed under: Bacillus sp. MRMR6
Lineage: Bacteria; Bacillati; Bacillota; Bacilli; Caryophanales; Bacillaceae
Description: Bacterial small subunit ribosomal RNA
Rfam family: Bacterial small subunit ribosomal RNA
Source: Rfam by way of RNAcentral